This is a non-coding RNA of Oryctolagus cuniculus (rabbit), 2343 nucleotides long. Lineage: Eukaryota; Metazoa; Chordata; Mammalia; Lagomorpha; Leporidae. The record is from RefSeq and is a predicted model, not a curated record.
CCCUUCAAGUUCAGGGUGGGUGACGGUGAGAAAAGGGUGAAGUAAUGGAAGCGUAUGGGCUUCUGAGUCAGAUCUCCUGGGUUCAAAUACCGGCUGUGUGGCUUGGGAGUAAUUUAACCUCUCUGUGCCUCAGUAUCUCCAUCUAUAAAAUGGGAUAAUAACAGUCCCCAUAGUACUCUUCCAGAGGGGACAGUGGCUGCCGCAUGUCUCGACCAGGAACCAAGAGAGACGGGUCGACACAAAGCUUCAUUCUCUGAAGCUCACACUGGAAGAGACUGCAAGCAUCCAAAAGCCAACCUGGAAAAUGGAACAGGUAACACGUACAGCACAGCAGCAGCUCCCUACCCUCCCGCAGAAUCUGGAAGAAGACACGUGGCCAGCAGGAACCCGUAUGCCUGCUAGAGGUGCCCGUCCCAAACCUCAGAACUUCUGCCCAGCCUCCAAGGCGAACUCAUCCCCAGGGAGGACACACAACCCAAGAGUCUACGGCGCCACAUUUUUGCAGCUCUCUCAUUUUACUAAGGAAGGAGAAGAAGAGAGACCUCAAGAGCUGCAGAAGGGCAUGUGAAGAACCAGCGUCUAAAAAUAGCUGCAACCUGAGGGCUGGGAAGGAAGUUUAUGCUUGACUUUAGCAUUCAGUGCAACACACACACACACACACACACGCACACACACCCCUCCCUACACUCGCACAACGUCUAGCUCACUUUGUCGAUGUGAUUUUUCUGCAAUUAUUUUUGAACACUUGAGGAGUAUAGAGACAGAAGGGAUGCGACCUACGGUAUAUGCCAAGGUUUGUCUAAAAAUAUUUUACACCUGUUCUCUGUUCUGCACACUGGUCAUAUUUUAUCAGUGAAGUAAGUACUCAUAACACCAGACGGAAUGUGUUUUUCCUUCCAAGUCUUCAAUGUUUUUCCCUUCUGUAAAGCAAACCUCCUCUUCUUUUCUACCUGCACUAAAAUAAAGCUAGCACCGUUAUCCACAUGACAAACCCAUCAGAGCCUGCAUUUUAACUACUACUAUUCCUGAGCCAAUACUGUUUAAAUGUGAACUACUUUUAUAUUUUUCUCAAGAGUAUAGACAUUUGAAUUUAGCAACAUUUUUGGUUGCUUCUAUGAAGAAUGCAAACUAGUACCCUGGGCUUAAGUCAAGUUUCCAAGUGUGUGGAAAAGGAUCUCAGAUCCUGGUUUCCUUCAGUGCCUCAAAAUUAGAAAUACAACUCCAUGAUAUUUAUUAAGCACAAACAGAAUAGCUUUUAAGCUAUUACUAGAAUUUAAAGCUUGGUUGAUGCAAAUAACUCACUAGGCAACAAAACAUUGACAUAGAAGGACAGUUAUGGUUUUCAUUUACUUUUCUGAUUUCAAAGGGCAGCAAACAUGGCUAAAAUUCUGAAUUUCAUGGCUUCUAAAUACCAAGAGCAUCUAGGACAUAUACUCUAUAUAUUAAUUGACUGAUAUCAUUGAUUGUACCCAUUUUGCAAAUGAAUACACUGAACUGUCUGCAUCAAAUGACUAAUAGGAUUCAGCAAGGAAUCAGACCAGCACUUUCAAAUAGCCUGUAGACACGAAAUAUCCCAUGUAUGAAGAAGGUUUUCUUCUAAGGUUUGUCCAGCUGUGACAUCAUCUCAAAGUUCUCAUCAACAGACUGUCUAUAAAAAAAAGUUUUCUAAAAUCUUAAAACUCAAAUACUCAAAUAUUGAGAAAUUGUUAGAAAUUUAUGACUUAGAAGUCAAAUACCACUAACAAUAAGACUUUUAGCUCAAACAAAACCCCCAAAGCCCAUCUCACGGCUCAGCAGAUCAAACUCUGACUGACACAAAAAUCUAUGUAGCAGGCAACUCAGUACAUCAGGAGUUAGUCCAUAUAGAAGCUAUGGAAAUUCUCCUGAGCCCACUCAAAAGGGAGGUCCUUCUGUGUCCUCGGCAGUUUAAACACGUUCAGAACUAACAGUGAUAAUACAGACUAUGUAAGUUCAUCUACGAUAGCUUACUUACGCUUUUAAAAUGUGACCAGGUUUAUUUUAAACCAAAAUACAUUUUGGUAUUUUCAAGAAGGGCUUUCAGAACAAGUUUGAAAUGGGAGGUCAUUUUGUUUCCUUCGUGUUUUAAAAUUGAAGCAAAGAGAGCAUCCAUCACAACACCUGUUCAUAUAGAAAUUGAGAAUUACAAAGGUUUGCUUAAGAAAGCUUUUCAAAGUAAUUUAAAAACAAAGCAGAUGGUUGGUCUGUAACGUGUGUAUGUAAUGAAAUAUUGCACUGUACCCCCUUGAAAGUGUGCAAGUAUUACUUUAAUCGAAAUUUCAAAAUAAAAGUCAUGGGUACUAGAAACACACACCCGAGGACCAU